Molecule: unclassified non-coding RNA, 335 nt
Filed under: soil metagenome
Description: partial contains 5.8S ribosomal RNA, internal transcribed spacer 2, and large subunit ribosomal RNA
Rfam family: 5.8S ribosomal RNA (bases 1-120)
Source: RNAcentral
GAUGAAGAACGCAGCGAAAUGCGAUAAGUAAUGUGAAUUGCAGAAUUCAGUGAAUCAUCGAAUCUUUGAACGUACAUUGCGCCCGCCAGUAUUCUGGCGGGCAUGCCUGUUCGAGCGUCAUUUCAACCAUCAAGCCCCCGGCUUGUGUUGGGGACCUGCGGCUGCCGCAGGCCCUGAAAACCAGUGGCGGGCUCGCUAGUCACUCCGAGCGUAGUAAUACAUCUCGCUCAGGGCGUGCUGCGGGUUCCGGCCGUUAAAAAGCCUUAUUUACCCAAGGUUGACCUCGGAUCAGGUAGGAAGACCCGCUGAACUUAAGCAUAUCAAUAAGCGGAGGA